RNAcentral lists this ribosomal RNA (490 nucleotides) under uncultured bacterium. RNAcentral describes it as "partial 16S ribosomal RNA". It matches the Rfam family "Bacterial small subunit ribosomal RNA", at positions 30 to 507 of the family's 1533-position model. The record is from RNAcentral.
AUUGAACGCUGGCGGCAGGCCUAACACAUGCAAGUCGAACGGUAACAGGAAGAAGCUUGCUUCUUUGCUGACGAGUGGCGGCCGGGUGAGUAAUGUCUGGGAAACUGCCUGAUGGAGGGGGAUAACUACUGGAAACGGUAGCUAAUACCGCAUAACGUCGCAAGACCAAAGAGGGGUACCUUCGGGCCUCUUGCCAGCGUAGGCUCCCAGGUGGUCUUAGCUAGUAGGUGGGGUAACGGCUCACCUAGGCGACGAUCCAUAGCUGGUCUGAGAGGAUGACCGGCCCCACUGGAACUGAGACACGGUCCAGACUCCUACGGGAGGCAGCAGUGGGGAAUGGUGCACAAUGGGCGCAAGCCUGAUGCAACCAUGCCGCGUGUAUGAAGAAGGCCUUCGGGUUGUAAAGUACUUUCAGCGGGGAGGAAGGGAGUACAGUUAAUACCUUUACUCAUUGACGUUACCCGCAGAAGAAGCACCGGCUAACUCCGUG